CCUACGGGAGGCAGCAGUGGGGAAUAUUGGACAAUGGGCGAAAGCCUGAUCCAGCAACGCCGCGUGAGGGAUGACUGCCUUCGGGUUGUAAACCUCUUUCAGCAGGGACGAAGCGAAAGUGACGGUACCUGCAGAAGAAGCACCGGCCAACUACGUGCCAGCAGCCGCGGUAAUACGUAGGGUGCGAGCGUUGUCCGGAAUUAUUGGGCGUAAAGGGCUCGUAGGCGGUCUGUUGCGUCGGGAGUGAAAACUCAGGGCUUAACCCUGAGCCUGCUUCCCGAUACGGGCAGGACUAGAGGUAUGCAGGGGAGAACGGAAUUCCUGGUGUAGCGGUGAAAUGCGCAGAUAUCAGGAGGAACACCGGUGGCGAAGGCGGUUCUCUGGGCAUUACCUGACGCUGAGGAGCGAAAGUGUGGGGAGCGAACGGGGAUUAGAUACCCUGGUAGUCCACACCGUAAACGUUGGGCGCUAGGUNUGGGGACUCAUCACGAGUCGUCGCGCNGCUACGCAUAGCGCCCGCCGUCGGGUACGGUACGGCCGCCGACGGACGUAAACCGUUAAACGGUAAAGUUAGUAACGGUACGUGUUAGACGUAGCCGAACGGACGACGACGACGGGAGGAGGG
Molecule: ribosomal RNA, 625 nt
Filed under: uncultured bacterium
Lineage: Bacteria
Description: bacterial SSU rRNA
Rfam family: Bacterial small subunit ribosomal RNA (bases 1-521)
Source: RNAcentral